RNAcentral lists this long non-coding RNA (393 nucleotides) under Pongo abelii (Sumatran orangutan). RNAcentral describes it as "lincRNA". Lineage: Eukaryota; Metazoa; Chordata; Mammalia; Primates; Hominidae. The record is from RNAcentral.
CUCUGUUCACGGAAAGGGCCUGGGAGCAGCAACACCUCAACAGCAACGAGCACACCUGCUACCUAGAACCUGGUUUCUAAAAACCAUCCUCCUCUAAAAGAAAACAGGGCUCUUUGAAGAAAUGGUAAUUUCAAAGCUAGAGCAGAGAAGGUAUAAGAUGAGCCCAGAAUAUCUUUUUGUACAAGAAAGUAAGGCCAUGCUCAAAGAAUGAUGGAGACAUGACCAAAAAAAGCAGAGAAGCCAACUUGAAAAGAUUCCAACAGGCCAAAUAUGGGACAAUUUGAACAUCAGAAUAAAAUAGUGACAGUAACAGAAUUAUAACCCAUUGAAGAAAGUAGGAAUUCAUGACAUCAUAUUAAUAUAAAUAAAAAUUGAAUAUUGAAAUUUAUUAAG